UACGAAGGGUGCUAGCGUUGUUCGGAAUCACUGGGCGUAAAGCGCGCGCAGGCGGAUCGAUAAGUCGGGGGUGAAAGCCCGGGGCUCAACCUGGGAACUGCGCUUGUGACUGCGGGGCUAGAGUGCGGAAGAGGGAGGUGGAAUUCCACGUGUAGCAGUGAAAUGCGUAGAGAUGUGGAGGAACACCGAUGGCGAAGGCAGCCUCCUGGGCCAGCACUGACGCUCAUGCACGAAAGCGUGGGGAGCAAACAGG
RNAcentral lists this ribosomal RNA (253 nucleotides) under uncultured bacterium. Its description in RNAcentral is "partial 16S ribosomal RNA". It matches the Rfam family "Bacterial small subunit ribosomal RNA", at positions 524 to 776 of the family's 1533-position model. The record is from RNAcentral.